CCCAAAUCACCAAAAUGGUGACAAAUCACAAAAGGGCACACUGGGCAAGAUUCACCGUGACCGGCCUUCUUUAAUACACCGGGCCUAGCAUCGCUUCUUGAAACGAUGCAAAACGUGGAUAGGCCACCUAUAAGCGCAAUACCAGCUACCAGGCCUUAGGUUUCAGUUACAGAAUACGGCAUUCAGCCAAGUUGGUCUUGCGGCAGUCCGUAAGUAUGUGAUGAUCAGCUGGAAUUUGGAGCAUGACAGCGCAUGUACUGCUGUAGUGCCAGAGCUUUAUUCAGUAGUAGCAAAUAUAAAUUUUAUCAAUACGGUUUACAUUUAUUAAGUUAAAAUCUUCACUACUAUGUUGCUUAGGUGAUUUCCAAUAUAGUUCAUUUUUUAGAAUUACCCUCCACCUGGUGAAUUUUUUGUUUUUUCAAUGAAAGUCUUGGGACGAGAGCUAAGCGUCAACUACUUAUUUUCUGCGCUAAAUUAGCGGUAUAUAAGGCUUCGCAUUCAAGUUUAGGUUGUGGAACAGUGUGCUCUUGUAGUUUGGAAGACGUGGGCAUUCGAUGAUGAGCGUCACUGUUCCCGCAAAGCUGAAAGACAAAGCUUAAACCGUGUUCUAGAGGAGAACGUUGUCAGGACAUCAGGUUGUGUAUGCCACGUCCACACGAAGUCGAGGGGUUGCAAGAAUAGCAGAGGCUCCCGGGCAUGCAGGUCGCGGAGGAGAUGGCCAAUUCGCGGUGUGAUACAUGAUCGUGGCUGUUGCGUGCUUUCGAGUGAUAUUGCGGAUGUCCAGAGGCCGAAGGGACGGUUCAUCAAUGGUGAAGUACUUCCAAUUUCAUCAUGUGCUUGGUCCGUAGAAGCAUAGAUCUAGCGUAACAGGUUGUCGGAAGAUGACACCUUUCCUUGGGUGAAUACGGAAAAGCUAAUAAUUUUUCAUUCUCGUAAACUUACAAAAAAAAUCAUUUUUUUAAAUUUUUGUUUUGUUUUUUGUCCUUUAUAGGAUUGACAGUAUUUUUCUUGUGCUGAUUCUAAACGUAAAAGUUUGAUAUAUUUGUAGCUCUUUAUAGGCUGCAACGAGCGUCUCAGUAGAUAAAAGUAGCCUAUUUACCACGACUUUAUCAAGCUUCCUAGUCACCCUCGUUACAUUGAGUUAAAGCUGAAAUUUGAGUUAAAGCUGAAAUUAGAGUUAAAUAGCCCUUGUGGCCUAAUGAAUAAGGCACCGGCCUCCUAAGCCGGGGAUUGCGAGUUCGAGUCUCGCCAGAGGUAUAACGAAAUGUAUAUAUAUUCAUAGCAAUGUGAUUCCACUCGGAUUACCACAGAUUUGAGCAAAUAUUCCGUUUUUCAGCAGAAAAUUGUUUUCGGGAAAUUAUCAUUUUGUUUAAUGGAGUUUUUUAGUUUUUUCUUAAGUUACUUCUAAAUAAAAAUAUUUAAC
Daphnia magna is the source of this 1423-nucleotide long non-coding RNA. RefSeq lists it as uncharacterized. The transcript is spliced from 2 exons. Lineage: Eukaryota; Metazoa; Arthropoda; Branchiopoda; Diplostraca; Daphniidae. The record is from RefSeq and is a predicted model, not a curated record.